GAUUUGUUUUGGGUUCGUUUAUGGAACUUAUUAGGAGUUUGUUCUCUUGUUCGUUUUCACUUGGUUUUUAACUUUACUGAUACAGGGUUGGUUGAUUUCGUUGCUUUGAUUUUAUUAUGUGCCAAACUUGCUUGAUUUAUUUCAUACUCUUUUGUUGAUUUACCGAUUUACUCCGUUUCUUACAUGGUUGCAUUCCCUGCAAUUCCACUCUAAUUUU
This 217-nucleotide unclassified non-coding RNA is filed under the name Hevea brasiliensis (rubber tree). The record is from RNAcentral. Lineage: Eukaryota; Viridiplantae; Streptophyta; Magnoliopsida; Malpighiales; Euphorbiaceae.